AUCAUCGACAAUAUUUAGCCUGAUUGAGGCUUUAAUAGUUAGGUGUGCUGCUGGACAUUUAACGUGGGGGCUAAAGUUUAAAAACUGUGGUGUAAGUAGAAACUAUGCUAAAAUGUAAAAAAUGUGUCCCUUCACUAAGAUUUAAUGUAUCAAGGCAAUGCUUAUGAACAGUAAAAUAUACGAUUACUUGUUGACACGAAUUGUUUAUAAUUUUGAUUUAAUGUAGAUUUUCUUAUUGAAAGAUUUUAUAUAAAUUAUAAACCAUUACUUUUGUCGUAUAGUUGUCUUAAAUUAAUUUUAACAUUUUACGUUCCUAAAACAUUAUUUGGCAUUGAGACACUAAAAUAUAAGUUUAUGUAAUGAAACAAUUUUGGUUUUGAUUUAAGUUUCUGUCUAUAACACAGUUUUAAACUUUAGCUCCAUGCCAUAAAUGGAGCCUCCGAUGUGUGGCCGGGAGCUAACUUGUGAGCUCGUUAACGGUUUUAGUUAUUGUUUUAUAUGUUACUGUUAUGGUAUCAUUUUAUAGUGCAUUCUAUUCUCUACAAUACUGUUUAUUUCGCUGUGUUUGUUGUGUUUGUAAUACUGUUAAGAGAGUAUUUACACAUUUUCAAAGUAAUUAAAGAAAACUAAAGUUCUACGCAGUGUUAAUCGCUAUAUUUAUUUUACCUUUAUUUAUGUUUUUUCAGAGUUAGAAAAUCAUACUACAAUGCUAUCCAUCAUCAGUUUAAUGGCAUGUACGUUGAAUAAUAAGUGAAAUUUAUAAAAAGAAAACAAAUAUAAAAUUAGAUAAUUUGAUUGGUAAUAUUUAGUAGAAAAUUAAAUAAAUUCAAGCUUGUUUGUAAUAAUUAUGAAAAAGAAAAAGCAAAAUUAUUAUAAAGUGUUGUACCACUCACCACUACCAUGGAGUGACAGGCCUGUCUCAUGGUGUCAACAGCAUUGCCAACUCAACUGCUUGAGCCUUUAUAUUAUUAGUAAACUUUUAUAGGUAGAUCAUUUGUAAUAAGCCCGUGAAUAAACAUUAACCUCUUUUACCAUGCCAGUGAUCAUUUUUUUUUUAAGGAAAGAUCAAGGUGAAAGUGACAAACUGUGAUCUCACACAGGCUAUACCAGGUUUAUCUUCCUAACUGGUCACAAACCCAGGGCUAGUUGUGCUGUUGGUGGGCCAUCGCUCCCAAUACUCAAAGAGUAAACUGUAGUUUGGAUGGUGGGACUUAAAGGAUUAAAAACCUGAAAUAUUUCCAUUCUUAUUUUCUUAAAAAAUUACAUAAAAAGCUCAUUUAAGUUCACUUAAUCCAAAAUACUACAUAUCCAAUUAAAUAUGAAAGCCAAAACCUACCGAAUUAAAAAUAUGAAUUGAAAUGUAGAAUUUAUAGUGUAUAAUGCUUUGACACUUGGCAGUAUAGGUGUAUGAUAUGGUGGGUAUGCUCAGGUCCGAUGGAGAGAGGAUUAGUUAGCAAGAUGGUCCUCUACUCCCUCUCUCCCAGGGGUAAACCUUUGCUGACUCACGAAGGUCACAAGUAUCACCUGAACAAGACAGCACCCAACGGUACCAAGUACUGGUGUUGCUGCAACAAGAAGUACUACAAGUGCCAUGGAACACUCGCCAUCAACAGGGAUAAUAUGGUGAAAUGUUGGGGAAGUGGGACACUACGACUAUAUGCACGACAGCCAGUCGAGGUUUGGUGUUGACGUUAGACGGUUGGCAAUACUACCACAACAAGAUUAGUGCUCAAGUUAACAUAGUGAUGUUUGUCUUUAGAAAUGUUGGGGAAGUGGGACACUACGACUAUAUGCACGACAGCCAGUCGAGGUUUGGUGUUGACGUUAGACGGCUGGCAAUACUACCACAACAAGAUUAGUGCUCAAGUUAACAUAGUGAUGUUUGUCUUUAGAAAUGUUGGGGAAGUGGGACACUACGACUAUAUGCACGACAGCCAGUCGAGGUUUGGUGUUGACGUUAGACGGUUGGCAAUACUACCACAACAAGAUUAGUGCUCAAGUUAACAUAGUGAUGUUUGUCUUUAGAAAUGUUGGGGAAGUGGGACACUUCGACUAUAUGCACGACAGCCAGUCGAGGUUUGGUGUUGACGUUAGACGGCUGGCAAUACUACCACAACAAGAUUAGUGCUCAAGUUAACAUAGUGAUGUUUGUCUUUAGAAAUGUUGGGGAAGUGGGACACUACGACUAUAUGCACGACAGCCAGUCGAGGUUUGGUGUUGACGUUAGACGGCUGGCAAUACUACCACAACAAGAUUAGUGCUCAAGUUAACAUAGUGAUGUUUGUCUUUAGAAAUGUUGGGGAAGUGGGACACUACGACAGCCAGUCGAGGUUUGGUGUUGACGGUAGACGGUUGGCAAUACUACCACAACAAGACCGCAGCGAAUGGCACACGCUACUACAACUGUAUAUACAAGCGGCGGCACAUGCUCAGGUGUCGGGGGACACUUGUGGUCGGGAGAGAUGAUUCGAUCAUCCGAAGAAGCCCUCACAGUUGUUCCACAAAGAGACAAGACCGGUCAAGUUCGUUGUGAACACAAAGCCUGAAACCUUGAAGCUUUGUUCACUUAUUUAUCUCAAAUCUCAAAAAUCUUGUCUUCAGGAUUUCAACAGACAAGAAUGAAUCGGGAGACUAGUAGGCCAAGUGUUUGGCCAAUUCAUUCAAAAUGUGAAAUAUAACUACUACAAAUUGACCCACAGCUACAUUUCAAUGUUAUAAGAAAUCUUUUCUAAUGAUUCAUGAAAAUGUAUGAAGAAAAUUAAUACCUAUCUCAUUUCAAGAAAGGAAAGAUGAUGGAGUCGAAGGUGCAUCCCCUGGUCAUAGGCACUCACUACUGUACUACCACUGCAUCUUCAAGUUCAAACUGUCAUCCAGGGAAGGAAGUCGUCUGCCUGUAAACAACAAUGUCCACGACAAUCGUUGAUCCCGUCACCUGUCAAGUGCGUUCUGUUAUAUGAUUCUUGUCUACAAAAGGAUUAUCGGCUGCUGAACUUCAUCGGGGGUUAUGCGUAAUUUAUGGACCGUCAGCUAUGAGUGCAGGAAAGGUUAGACAAUGACGUGGUGAUUUUUAAGAUGGCCGAACAAAUGUCCAUGACAAAGAGCGGAGUGGCCGGCCCAGUAUCCUGACUGAUGGAAUUGUUUCAUAAGUAGACCAAAAACUGUGAUCUGAUCGUCGAUUGAUGAUUAAUGGCCUGGCUGAAGAAUUCCUCAACUUGGACGCACUACUGUGUACAAUAUUGUAACAGAAAAUCUCAGAUACUCAAAAUUGUGUGCAAGGUGGGUACCAAAAAUGCUGACCAACCACAAAGAGUAAAGAAUGUCCAACGGAUGAGAGUUUUCUGGUCGUUACGAUCAAGGUGGAGAGGAUUUGUUUUCUCGCAUUUUUAAUGGGGACGAUACAUGGAUCCAUGUCAAUCCAGAGAUUAAACAGCAAUGACGACACUCAUCUUCACCAAAACCAAAAAAAGUUUAAACAAACUCUGUACACAAGUCAAACAUUGAUAGCUACCGUUUUUGGGACAUAAAGGGGUUCUUUUAGUAGAUGUUUUGGAAUGUGGGACAACAAUUACAGCUUAUGUGUACUGCAAAAAUAGCUGAACAAACUGAGACGCAAUCCAGAAACAAAUGACGCGGGUAACUGUCAUUCGGUUUAAUCCUCCCUCUCCAUAAUGUGCAUCCUCACAUUGCAGCAAAACUAUAGUCCUGACCUUGCAACUAGCGACUACAUCAUGUUCUUGCACAUGAAAUGGUGGUUCGGUGGACAAGUUUUUGAGACCGAAGAGGAACUAAGAAUGGUGUUUUGUAUUGGUUCAACUCUCAGGUGGCGAACUUCUGUGCAGAGGUGUUAAAGAAGCUGGUGCAGUGGUACGAAAAAUGCUUACAAGUGAAAAGCAAUUAUGUAGAGAAGUGAAGUAGGUUUAUAGCUUACUAAAUAUGCUAAUAAAAUGUGUUUCUUAUGAAUUUAUUUUUUCCUGUGACCAAACAGCCUAUACUUAAGAAUAUGCCUUAUAUAUGCGUAUCAGACUGUAUAAGAUACCGUCCUGUGUCACUUUGCCUCACAAGCUUUCAGUCCUUCAUACUUAGAGCUAAUAGUUACUGUGUAUUAAUAUUUUAUUUGUAUUGCUAUAGGCCAAUUUAUUGAUUACGUAAUAAGAUUUUAAAACAGAUGAUCGUGAUACAAAAAAUUAACUACAUUUCACAAUGAGUGAAGUCAAUAAAAUAAUUUCAUAUUAUUAUACAAAUUGAAUUUUAUUUACCUGGCUAUAUGAUAAAGGUUCUCUUUUUAUUCUUGGGCAUAUACAUAAAUUAGUUUCUAUGUUAAAUGGUUUUCAUUACAAAGUCUAUUGUAACUAAGAAUGUUAUUUAAUGGUCAAUAAAGAUCUUGAAUGUUUCUUGUGUCGAUAAUGUGAAGGUCACCAGGAUGUUGAUUAUGCCCUGAACUUUCAUGUUAAACCUUCAUAAUUUGUCAGCCAUCAAUUCAACCAGAAACUUCUUGGGUUGCUUCCUCAAGUUCUACAUAGACAUCUACAUAUACAACAAGGGUUACAUAUGUGUAUUCCAAAUAAUAAUGAGCCUGUGACUAAAUUUUAGUUUUUGGUUGACAAUGUUGUCCCAUAGAUGACGAUUUAUUGUGAGACGAAUGCGAUACCUCCCAUGCUGAUUCUAAAUCCGGUAUAUGUAUGACCAUCUUGGAUAGAAAGAAAUAUUGAUUAGAAUUAUUGAAAUAUUGAAUUAUUGAUUAGAAAUACAGUGAUUAUACAGAAUUUUAAAAUCUCUUUUUAUUCCUAUUUCAAACUCUUUUUAUACAAGAACAUGAAAAUGUCAGAACUAUAAUUUAUUGGAGAAAAGAAGAAAUUUUUAAGACUUGUUUUUGUGAUUACUUCUCCUGUUUGUGUUGAUUCUACUGCUGUGGCUAAAGUUUUAAAAUAAGAUUGCCACUCAUGGUGAUAAUCUCAGUAAAGCCAAAAAUCUGGCAUUUUAUCGAGAACAUUUCACUAUUGUAAAAUUCAAGAAAUUAAUUGUUUUUAUGAGUCUAUGAGUUUGUGGAAGAAAGACACCAAUAUUGACCUCUACAGUAGCUUAUGGGUAAGGCUUUGACUACUUUUGGAUUUAAUACCCAAAAUUAGAAUUUCAUUGGUAUAGCAAGAAAUAAAACAUCCAGUUUCGUACCUAUGCUGGGACUUUAUAUGUAUUGUGAGAUGAGGCAUACAAAGUCAAAGUAGAUGUACAUUCCACGGUAGAAAAAUUAUAUUUAAAUUCUGUUAUUACACGUGUUAAUGAACAAACCUCUGAUUAUAAAGUGUACAAGAUUCCUUUAGUCUUGUUGUAAAGAACUAACAGUCAUGUGUGUAUUUUACUAUUUUUUUUUAUUAUGAAUCUGUUAAGAUUCAAUUACUUUAUAUUAUGCUGUUGAGGCAACCACAGUAACUCGGACAGAAGAUUCUAACAUAACUUAAUUUUAGUUACGAAGCUACUUUUCCUAGACUACAGGGUCUACAGUAGAAAGAGUACACUAUAGUAAAGAUGUCUAGAGUACCAUUUUCAGUUGAAAUUAGUCAAACUUUUUUAUUUGUGAAUGACAUAAAAAAAGAGUUUAAUCUUUUUUUAAUGACCAACUUUUUAACAAUCUAACUUUGCUAGAUGGUAUUAAAUUUGUCUUUACAGGUACUUUGUAUAAAGGGAAUUUGUGUAUUCAAUAUUUAAAUAUUUUAUAUAUUUGCAACUUUUUCAUAGAUUUUUUAAAAUUAUUUGGUUUUGUAGGUUUUUAUUAGUGAUAAAAAUUGAUUUCUUGCUAAAAAGAUUAUAUUUGUUGUAUAAAAUAGUAUUUAUAUCUCAAUUAUGAUGCUUAUUUAUCCAUCUAUCUAUCUAUAUAUGAAUAUUUGCCUGUAUGUCCUUUAUAGAAUCGUAAACUAUGUGACCGAUCAUUAUGAACAUUUGUAUGUAUUUUUCUAAGGAGAAGGUUUAUAUGCUAUGCCCAUUGAUGUCAUUCACCACCAGUCGACACUGUAAUGUUAAAGUACCUGCACAUUACAAACUCCAAUUACAAGCCAGUUAUGUGUAUUAAACAGCCAAACACUAUAUGGAAGCGCUAAGUUAUAAUUGAUAUUUGUCUUUAAAAUUAAUUUCAUGUUGAAAUUGAAGCUUGAGUGUUAUUCCACUUUAUAAUGAAGUACAUUUACAUAUACAGUACACUUUAGACAGAUUUUCCUGAGUGUGACAUCAAGGCAAACUCUACAUCAGUGUUGGAAGCAUGUGAAGCUGCAGGAAACAGCUAGUAUUACUAUAAAUGGUACCUAAUAUCUACAGUAUGUAUUUUUGUCUCCACAAUAUACAUAAUAUAAGCUAGUUGUUAAAAAUGAAAAAGAUGCAUAGGCUACAUGUGAUUGUAUUUUAUCUUGUUUAUUAUGUAUUGUUAUAAAUUAUAGUGUACUUUUGAAGUUCUCAAGUGAUGGAAGUUCUGAUCAAUAAAAAAAGUUUGUUAAUCUAAACUAUUGACAAGUGAUGCUGUAUAACUUUGUUCCUGUAGCAUAAUUCUAUUAUGUAAGAGUAAUUAUAAGUAUAUUUUUGUAAAUGUGUUUUAGUAUUGUUAAUUUCUUUACACAGUAAAGAUUUUAUAAGAGUGAAA
Long non-coding RNA from Homalodisca vitripennis (glassy-winged sharpshooter), 6625 nucleotides. RefSeq lists it as uncharacterized. The transcript has 4 exons. NCBI's taxonomy places the organism in Eukaryota, Metazoa, Arthropoda, Insecta, Hemiptera, Cicadellidae. The record is from RefSeq and is a predicted model, not a curated record.